CAACCCACAUAUCGCACAUGACUAGAAAGACCUUCAGGUUGAAGCGUCCAUAAUAGUUACAGUAAACUCAACAACAAUAGUUGGUAUACAUGAUGUGGCGCGUUCGCCUUGCGUCUUUGAUUGCAUAAAUAAGGACGGGCUUAACUACGACAUAACAAUUAGAUGAGCAAAUGUGAUUCUCAGAACGUACCCCAGAGAUAACUACUUCAUACUUCUCCACUCCAUCACUUUCUAUAUCAGAUUGGCCAUGCACCUUCGGUUGGAACUUUGGGGAGAGGCGGGGCAGUGGAGGCGCAAAGAGAGGAAGGACUCGCAGGUCCCGGGAAGAAGCUGAGAAAUCCGAGAGCACAGCCAUUGCAAGGCCAGAUGUCAGCCAAAUCGGGGUAACCAAAACAAGAAGCUGCCAGGAAUUAAAAAAAAAAAAAAAAAAACACAAGCAGCAAAACGGACGAGUUUGCACUUUAAAGGACCUAACCAAACAGAUUCAGGGGUACAGGGGUAUUCCAAGUGCGCCAAGCAGCUGCAAUCAACCACAAACCUCAGACGAUGUGCUUCGAAAAUCCUAAGGACUCCCAUGAAGCGCGUGCUACAAGGCCUGGAUUCAACCAUAGGAUGUGAGAUUCGCCAACCCCACGCUCCAAGUCCUCUCAAGGACGACAAGCCAGGCCAUGUGGAUCAAGGCACCAGGGUUAGCAAGAAGAGCAGGGCUGCACCGUCGUAAUGGCAGCGAGCCAACACAUUCUAAUCCUCCCCAUGUGCGUUGGACUCGCAUGGGAAUUCGCUUUGGGAUCUCACACUACAGUCAAAGCAUGCAUUAUUGAACGGGGGAUCAGAAGCUGUUGUUCGAAAUGAGCAGCUGGCAUAAGGUGAACUUUGUUUAAUGAAGUCGAUUCCUCAAUUGAGGCAUCCCAC
Molecule: small RNA, 912 nt
Filed under: Histoplasma capsulatum
Lineage: Eukaryota; Fungi; Ascomycota; Eurotiomycetes; Onygenales; Ajellomycetaceae
Also listed under: 1 other name
Description: hypothetical RNA
Source: RNAcentral